Stegastes partitus (bicolor damselfish) is the source of this 609-nucleotide long non-coding RNA. RefSeq lists it as uncharacterized. Lineage: Eukaryota; Metazoa; Chordata; Actinopteri; Pomacentridae. The transcript is spliced from 2 exons. The record is from RefSeq and is a predicted model, not a curated record.
CAGAUGUGAGACAUACAGUCAACAAUGCAGCACCACAGCAAGAUACUGUGACGACUCCACAGGCCAGAGAUCAUCAGAAGCCUGUGAAACGGUUAAAAGGACGACAACCUAGCAAGAGAAAGAUGUGGGAGAAAGAGGAGAUUGCCGCUGUCGAAAGGCACAUGAUGUCCUUCAUCACAACAUGCCGUGUUCCAGGAAAAAGUGACUGUGAUAAGUGCCUUAGCGCAGAGAAGACCGCUCUUAGGGACAGAAAUUGGCUAGCCAUUAAAUUUUACAUCAAGAAUCGCAUCACAGCUCUGAAGAGGACAAUGUAAAGUUCAAAACUAGUAGACAAAUGUUAUUUGUCAAUUUGUUGUUUUUGUUUAUAUAGAAUCAAGCUCACAAAAAGUUGGCUGUUCAGUUAUUUGACAGGUUCAAAUAUCUCACUUGAUUUUGUAUCAGUCAGUAAAAUUGUGACAUUGGUUUACCAACAUAACUUUUAUGUUGUUACAUUUACUAACAUGUUGAUUAGUAAUCAGCAAUCUCUGUGAGAGGUUGAAGAAUCUGAGCAGGUUUUUUUGUUUGUUGGGGUUUUUUUUGCAAUAAAACCUCUCAGUGACGUGACCUAUA